UACGGAGGGGGUUAGCGUUGUUCGGAAUGACUGGGCGUAAAGCGCGCGUAGGCGGGCUGGAAAGUUGGGGGUGAAAUCCCGGGGCUCAACCCGGAUGGCUUCAAAACUCCCAGCCUAGAGUUCGAGAGAGGUGAGUGGAAUUCCGAGUGCAGAGGUGAAAUUCGUAGAUAUUCGGAGGAACACCAGUGGCGAAGGCGGCUCACUGGCUCGACACUGACGCUGAGGUGCGAAAGCGUGGGGAGCAAACAGGAUUAGAUACCCCUGUAGU
This 268-nucleotide ribosomal RNA is filed under the name uncultured bacterium. Its description in RNAcentral is "partial 16S ribosomal RNA". It matches the Rfam family "Bacterial small subunit ribosomal RNA", at positions 524 to 794 of the family's 1533-position model. The record is from RNAcentral.